Molecule: ribosomal RNA, 1394 nt
Filed under: uncultured Syntrophomonas sp.
Lineage: Bacteria; Bacillati; Bacillota; Clostridia; Eubacteriales; Syntrophomonadaceae
Description: bacterial SSU rRNA
Rfam family: Bacterial small subunit ribosomal RNA
Source: RNAcentral
UUGAUCCUGGCUCAGGACGAACGCUGGCGGCGUGCCUAACACAUGCAAGUCGAACGGACUAAUGUUUGACACUGAAUGCUUUGGAAAGAUUGGUUCAGGGUCAAGCCGCGUGACGCGACCGAAGGGAGCGUCCAAGGCCAUCAAAAAAGCCAACACAUGAAAACAAGAACAUUCAGUGUUGAACAUUAUUUAAUGGCGGACGGGUGAGUAACGCGUGGAUAAUCUGCCCAUAAGUGGGGGAUAACAGUUGGAAACGACUGCUAAUACCGCAUAUGCUGAUUUAUCACUAAAGGAGGCCUCUUAACAAUGCUUUCGCUUAUGGAUGAACCCGCGUCUGAUUAGCUAAUUGGUGGGGUAAAGGCCUACCAAGGCAACGAUCAGUAGCCGGCCUGAGAGGGUGGACGGCCACACUGGGACUGAUACACGGCCCAGACUCCUACGGGAGGCAGCAGUGGGGAAUAUUGCGCAAUGGGGGAAACCCUGACGCACCGACGCCGCGUGAGCGAUGAAGGCCUUAGGGUUGUAAAGCUCUGUUUUAAGGUACCGAAUGUUACAGGGAGUAUAUGUCCUGUAAAUGACGGUACUUAGAGGAAGACCCCGCUACUACGUGCAGCAGCCGCGUAAGAGUAGGGGGCGAGCGUUGUCCGAAUUACUGGGCGUAAAGAGCACGUAGGCGGAGAUUAAGUCAGGUGUGAAAGACCGGGCUCAACCCCGGGGUUGCACUUGAAAUGGGUCCCUUGAGGGCAGGAGAGGAAAGCAGAAUUCUGGUGUAGCGGUGAAAUGCGUAGAAAUCAGGAGGAAUACCAGUGGCGAAGCGGCUUUUGACUGACCCGACGCUGAGUGCGAAAGCGUGGGUAGCAAACAGGAUUAGAUACUGUAGUCCACCCGUAAACGAUGGAUACUAGGUGUGGGAGGUAUCACCCCUUCCGUGCCGCAGCUAACGCAAUAGUAUCCCGCCUGGGGAGUACGGUCGCAAGGCUGAAACUCAAAGGAAUUGACGGGGGCCCGCACACGGUGGAGCAUUGUGUUAAUUGAUGCAACGGAAGACCCUACAGGUCUUGGACAUUCCAAAGAAUCCUAUCGAAAGGUAGGAGUGCCUUCGGGAGCUUUGAGACAGGUGGUGCAUGGUUGUCGUCAGCUCGUGUCGUGAGAUGUUGGGUUAAGUCCCGCAACGAGCGCAACCCUUGCCACUAGUUGAUAACAGGUUAAGAUGAGCACUAUAAUGGGACUGCCGGUGACAAGCCGGAGGAAGGUGGGGAUGACGUCAAAUCAUCAUCCCCUUCAUGACCUGGGCUACACACGUGCUACAAUGGAUGGUACAGAGAGCAGAGAGACCGUGAGGUGGAGGGAAUCUCAAAAAGCCAUUCUCAGUUCGGAUUGGAGUCUGCAACUCG